RNAcentral lists this ribosomal RNA (1486 nucleotides) under uncultured marine bacterium. Its description in RNAcentral is "16S ribosomal RNA". It matches the Rfam family "Bacterial small subunit ribosomal RNA". The record is from RNAcentral.
GAGUUUGAUCAUGGAUCACAUUGCACGCUGGGGGUAGGCUUAGCACAUGCGAGUCGUGCGAGAAAGUAUCUUCGGAUAUGAGUAGAGCGGCGGACGGGUGAGUAACGCGUAGGAAUCUACCUAGUAGAAGGGGAUAGCCCGGGGAAACCCGGAUUAAUACCGUAUACCUCCUUCGGGAGAAAGAAGGCCUCUCUUUGAAGCUUUCGCUACUAGAUGAGCCUGCGUAAGAUUAGCUUGUUGGUGAGGUAAAGGCUCACCAAGGCGACGAUCUUUAGCUGGUCUGAGAGGACGAUCAGCCACAUUGGGACUGAGACACGGCCCAUACUCCUACGGGAGGCAGCAGUGGGGAAUAUUGGACAAUGGGCGCAAGCCUGAUCCAGCCAUACCGCGUGUGUGAAGAAGGCCUUCGGGUUGUAAAGCACUUUAAGCAGGGAGAAAAAGUUAUAAGUUAAUACCUUAUAACCCUGAUGUUACCUGCAGAAUAAGCACCGGCUAAUUCCGUGCCAACGGCCGCGGUAAUACGAAGGGACCUAGCGUAUGUCGGAAUUACUGGGCUUAAAGAGUUCGUAGGUGGUUGAAAAAGUUGGUGGUGAAAUCCCAGAGCUUAACUCUGGAACUGCCAUCAAAACUUUUCAGCUAGAGUAUGAUAGAGGAACGCAGAAUUUCUAGUGUAGAGGUGAAAUUCGUAGAUAUUAGAAAGAAUACCAAUUGCGAAGGCAGCUUUCUGGAUCAUUACUGACACUGACGAACGAAAGCAUGGGUAGCGAAGAGGAUUAGAUACCCUCGUAGUUCAUGCCCUAAACGAUGUGUGUUAGACGUUGGAAAUUUAUUUGCAGUGUCGCAGGGAAACCGAUAAACACACCGCCUGGGGAGUACGACUGCAAGGUUAAAACUCAAAUGAAUUGACGGGGACCCGCACAAGUAGUGGAGCAUGUGGUUUAAUUAGAAGAUACGCGCAGAACCUUACCAACACUUGACAUGUUCGUCGCGACUGUAAGAGAUUAGAGUUUUCGGUUCGGCCGGACGAAACACAGGUGAUGCAUGGCUGUCGUCAGCUCGUGUCGUGAGAUGUUGGGUUAAGUCCCGCAACGAGCGCAACCCUCACUUUUAGUUGCCAUCAUUAAGUUGGGCACUCUGAAAGAACUGCCAGUGAUAAGCUGGAGGAAGGUGGGGAUGACGUCAAGUCUUCAUGGCCCUUACGUGUUGGGCUACACACGUGCUACAAUGGCAUCUACAACAGGAAGCAAAACGGCAACGUUAAGCAAAUCCCGAAAAGAUGCCUCAGUUCGGAUUGCACUCUGCAACUCGAGUGCAUGAAGCUGGAAUUACUAGUAAUCGUGGAUCAGCGUGCCACGGUGAAUGCGUUCCCGGGUCUUGUACACACCGCCCGUCACACCAUGGGAGUUGGUUCUACCUUAAGGCAAGGUUUCAAACCCUUGACCACGGUAUAGUCAGCGACUGGGGUGAAGUCGUAGACAAGGUAACC